This 253-nucleotide ribosomal RNA is filed under the name uncultured bacterium. RNAcentral describes it as "partial 16S ribosomal RNA". It matches the Rfam family "Bacterial small subunit ribosomal RNA", at positions 524 to 776 of the family's 1533-position model. The record is from RNAcentral.
UACAGAGGUCUCAAGCGUUGUUCGGAAUCACUGGGCGUAAAGGGCGCGUAGGCGGCCAUAUAAGUCGGGGGUGAAAGCCUGUGGCUCAACCACAGAAUUGCCUUCGAUACUGUAUGGCUCGAGACCGGAAGAGGUAAGUGGAACUGCGAGUGUAGAGGUGAAAUUCGUAGAUAUUCGCAAGAACACCAGUGGCGAAGGCGGCUUACUGGCCCGGUUCUGACGCUGAGGCGCGAAAGCGUGGGGAGCAAACAGG